This 241-nucleotide long non-coding RNA is filed under the name Setaria viridis. RNAcentral describes it as "long non-coding RNA (SVIR_LNC007033)". The record is from RNAcentral. Lineage: Eukaryota; Viridiplantae; Streptophyta; Magnoliopsida; Poales; Poaceae.
AGUACUUCUAAGAUUAUGAAAUUAAUGGAACGUUAACUCUUGCAGAUGGCACAUUGCACCAGAUCUGGUUCUGUGCCCGGCAGCAGCGAGCAGCGACAGGAUCUUCCCUUACCCCCGCCCUCGUCUCCACUAGAGGCAAUCCUAGCAACUCAAACCGAGCUGUUGAGGCAUCUUGUACAAGGACAACAGUAGCAGCCCCAUGGUGGAAGGGCUCAGCAGCAGCCGCAUGUUGCUCGCUAUG